GUGCACCAGGCGAGAAAACUUCACACUGUGCGAAAGCACGAUGAGGGAAUCCCAAGUGCUUGCACGUAAGUGUAAGCUGUUUCUCUGUCUAAAACGCAGAGAGAGUAAGGGCUGGGUAAGACGGGUGCCAGCCGCCGCGGUAAUACCUGCAGCUCAAGUGGUGACCGUUAUUAUUGGGCCUAAAACGUCCGUAGCCGGUUUAAUAAAUGCCUGGGUAAAUUGUGUAGCUUAACUAUACGAAUUCCGGGUAGACUGUUAAACUUGAGACCGGGAGAAGUUAGAGGUACUCCUGGGGUAGAGGUGAAAUUCUGUAAUCCUAGGGGGACCACCAGUGGCGAAGGCGUCUAACUAGAACGGGUCUGACGGUGAGGGACGAAGCCCUGGGGCGCAAACGGGAUUAGAUACCCGUGUAGU
This 414-nucleotide ribosomal RNA is filed under the name uncultured microorganism. Its description in RNAcentral is "bacterial SSU rRNA". It matches the Rfam family "Archaeal small subunit ribosomal RNA", at positions 330 to 745 of the family's 1478-position model. The record is from RNAcentral.